AUUGAACGCUGGCGGCAUGCCUUACACAUGCAAGUCGAACGGUAACGGGCCUUCGGGUGCCGACGAGUGGCGAACGGGUGAGUAAUGCGUCGGAACGUACCCAUCAGUGGGGGAUAACUCUCCGAAAGGAGGGCUAAUACCGCAUAUUCUGUGCGCAGGAAAGCGGGGGACCGCAAGGCCUCGCGCUGAUGGAGGGGCCGAUGUCAGAUUAGCUAGUUGGUGGGGUAAAGGCCUACCAAGGCGACGAUCUGUAGCGGGUCUGAGAGGAUGAUCCGCCACACUGGGACUGAGACACGGCCCAGACUCCUACGGGAGGCAGCAGUGGGGAAUUUUGGACAAUGGGGGCAACCCUGAUCCAGCCAUGCCGCGUGAGUGAAGAAGGCCUUCGGGUUGUAAAGCUCUUUCGGCCGGGAAGAAAUCGCAUCUCCUAAUACGGGGUGUGGAUGACGGUACCGGAAUAAGAAGCACCGGCUAACUACGUGCCAGCAGCCGCGGUAA
RNAcentral lists this ribosomal RNA (498 nucleotides) under uncultured bacterium. Its description in RNAcentral is "partial 16S ribosomal RNA". It matches the Rfam family "Bacterial small subunit ribosomal RNA", at positions 29 to 523 of the family's 1533-position model. The record is from RNAcentral.